GGUGGCCCAGGCCAGGCUCUUCCCCUGAUUCUUCCCUUGUAAUCAGAGGCUAAAAGAGGUGUGGACUAAAAAGCAUUAGGCGCAGAGAAGAGAGAUCUAAAUCUGAACGGUCAAAGCAUGAGAUGGAUCACGACUCCCCAUUCCUAUUACCCAGACAUUAAACUCCACGAGGCAGGGGCCAGGUCUGUUUCUUCUCACCACUGAAUUCUCUUCCUCCAGCAGAAA
Mesoplodon densirostris (Blainville's beaked whale) is the source of this 225-nucleotide long non-coding RNA. RefSeq lists it as uncharacterized. NCBI's taxonomy places the organism in Eukaryota, Metazoa, Chordata, Mammalia, Artiodactyla, Ziphiidae. The record is from RefSeq and is a predicted model, not a curated record. The transcript has 3 exons.